UAUAUGAAGGUGUAUAUAGUUUAACCUGCUCACUGAUUAUAUUAAAGAGCCGCAGUAUUUUGACUGUGCGAAGGUAGCAUAAUAAAUUGUCUUUUAAAUGAAGGCUUGAAUGAAAGGUUGGACAAAGUAUCAUCUGUUUCUUAAAUAUUUAUUGAAUUUGACUUUCAAGUGAAAAGGCUUGAAUAAAUUAAAAAGACGAUAAGACCCUAUAAAUCUUUACAAUAAACAUAUUUUAUAUUUUAGUUUAUAAAGUGUAUAAAAUAUUUAAUAUGUAGUUGUUCCGCUGGGGCGGCGUGGAUAUAUAAAUAAACUGUCUAUAUAUUAAAACCAAUAAUUAUUGAUUAAUAAGCUUGAUCCUUAAAUAGAUUAGAAGAUUAAGAUACUUUAGGGAUAACAGCGUUAUUUUUUUUGAGAGUUCUUAUCGAAGAAAAAGUUUGCGACCUCGAUGUUGAAUUAAAGUAUCUUUAUGGUGCAGCUGCUAUAAGAGAGAGUCUGUUCGACUUUUAAUACUUUACGUGAUCU
Molecule: ribosomal RNA, 522 nt
Filed under: Pagurus beringanus
Lineage: Eukaryota; Metazoa; Arthropoda; Malacostraca; Decapoda; Paguridae
Description: partial 16S ribosomal RNA
Rfam family: Bacterial large subunit ribosomal RNA
Source: RNAcentral